GAGGUGCGAAAGCGUGGGGAGCAAACAGGAUUAGAUACCCUGGUAGUCCACGCUGUAAACGAUGUCUACUAGCCGUCGGGGUCCUUAGUGACUUUGGUGGCGCAGCUAACGCGAUAAGUAGACCGCCUGGGGAGUACGGCCGCAAGGUUAAAACUCAAAUGAAUUGACGGGGGCCCGCACAAGCGGUGGAGCAUGUGGUUUAAUUCGAUGCAACGCGAAGAACCUUACCAGGUCUUGACAUCCUCGGAACUUGGCAGAGAUGCCUUGGUGCCUUCGGGAGCCGAGUGACAGGUGCUGCAUGGCCGUCGUCAGCUCGUGUCGUGAGAUGUUGGGUUAAGUCCCGUAACGAGCGCAACCCUUGUCCUUAGUUGCCAGCACGUCAUGGUGGGAACUCUAGGGAGACUGCCGGUGACAAACCGGAGGAAGGUGGGGACGACGUCAGGUCAUCAUGGCCCUUACGACCUGGGCUACACACGUGCUACAAUGGCUGGUACAGAGGGUUGCGAAGUCGCGAGGCGAAGCUAAUCCCUUAAAGCCAGUCGUAGUCCGGAUCGGAGUCUGCAACUCGACUCCGUGAAGUCGGAAUCGCUAGUAAUCGCAAAUCAGAAUGUUGCGGUGAAUACGUUCCCGGGCCUUGUACACUCCGCCC
This 649-nucleotide ribosomal RNA is filed under the name uncultured bacterium. RNAcentral's name for it is "bacterial SSU rRNA". It matches the Rfam family "Bacterial small subunit ribosomal RNA", at positions 748 to 1395 of the family's 1533-position model. The record is from RNAcentral.